This is a long non-coding RNA of Coregonus clupeaformis (lake whitefish), 2985 nucleotides long. RefSeq lists it as uncharacterized. The transcript is spliced from 2 exons. Lineage: Eukaryota; Metazoa; Chordata; Actinopteri; Salmoniformes; Salmonidae. The record is from RefSeq and is a predicted model, not a curated record.
ACACCAGCAGAGCGAGUAGAGAUGGCUCCUUUGAAUGGGGAGAAUGAGGAAGAAGAGGACUCCACCCUCUUUGAUGUCAAGUACAGGUGAAUACCAGUCAUUAAACAGAGGAUGUUGGAUUUUAAAUCAUAAACCCAUCAUUUUCUCCAGUGGGAACACAACCCAAGGAUAUGUGGCCUAACGCUGUCUCCUGAUGUCUUCAGUGUUUUGUAACUUCUGUCAAGUCCAGUCAAGUUUCCAAUCUCACCGAUAUUUUCAGAAAAGGUUACCUCUGUGGUCUGGUUUUCUAGAAUGUAUUCUGAUUGUAAACAUGAUGUAUUUACAAUCCUUUUGUAUACAUCAGUCACUUCCAACGCAGAAGGUUCCUCUUCAGAGGGAUGUUGCCAAUAGAUUGUGAAUUGGGGCUAGCUCAGUAAAUGUUAAUCUUCUUUAAGCUAAAACAAAAUACAUAGAGAACAUUUGAUGGCUUUUGCUUAAAGGCAAUCCUCUUGCCGUCCUGUAAUGCUUAUAGUAUGUUAUUCACUGUAAUAAUAUAAUAUUUUAUAUUAUGAUUUGCAUACUAUGAAAAAUACUUAUUUACUCGUUUGGUGCAAAGAUUAUUUUAAUUGUCAACUAUUCUGCUAUUCCAAAUAGUACACUAACCACUAAAAUGUGCAUACACUGUAUACUGUAUGAGGCUUUCUGUCCUCUGUCUCAUGGUUGGUUUGGGUGCAUAUUUUUUACUGUAUGUGUUUGAGAGUCUCCCGUUUUGCUGCUAUCUCUAACCUGGGGUUGGAUAAGGUUGCAAGUGCAUAUGUUUGGUCACAAUGACAAACAAUUGUAUUAAAGAACAGGUCAUAUAAUAUACUUUGUAGGAUUUUGGAAAUAAAUGUAUGUUUCUCAAAGUUGGAUUGUAAAAUAUAUCAAUGUAUAUUUGGAUAUACAAACAGUAACUCAUAUUUUUUUAACCAAUAUUACCUUGCCAGACAUGUUUCCGGUCUCCAAGGAAUGGAGACAGGGUCAUUGGCGUGUUCUAGUGAAUGUAAUUACACAUAUCAGGCAAAUCCUGGUAUUGCUUACACAGGCUUAUUAAAAAUGGCAACCUUAACCCAGGACAUUCCUGGCAUGUCCCACAUUUACUCAGAGCUUGUGGAAUUAAUUAUUUGAUUGGUUCCAUGUCACAAUGUUUGGCUUUGAGACUAGACUGAUGUGUGAUAUUUAUUUUAAGUGAAGCAAUAAUCAUAGAUAACUAACUACUCUUACAAAAUGAAUGCUUUUAAGCUGUUGAUAGAAUAAAUAGUGUGAGAAGAGGGGGUUAUGACUGUUGUAAUAUAAAUGUAUGCAGAUUACUUUAAAAUGAAAUCGGCACCUACCUCUUUCCUGUAGGAAUUAAGAAAGUUGAACCCCCAAACAACGUCCCACCAUUUAGAUAGUGGCAGUAUAUUAAACUGACGAAUGGACUGGCAAACUUUGCAUACAGUACAUGGUUAUUCUAUUUCAAACUAGAAGCAAUUGAAUGGCUAAUGUGUAUGUACAAUGCCUUUUAAUUGGACCAUACAUCAGUAAAUGGAGUGCUUGCUUUCACAUUCAAAAGCUUUACAUUAGCCUACCCCUACAAUUAAAACCCAUUGUUGGACAAAAGUUACCCAUCAACUCAGGUAUUUCAAGGCACCUGUGACAUGUCUCUCUAAAUAGUCUAAAACAUGAGAAAAUAAUGGAUUGAAACAAAUGUUUAAAGAAUCAGUAAAUAAAUAACUCUAAAAAAUAAUAGUUUAACAUCAUUCCAUCCUUAGAUAAUGUGGUCUUAAAAGGUCCUCUGGAAAUGUUGUGUAGUAAUAUAAAAAAACGUGUUGAAUCCCUAGAGGUCACCUUGUCUGUUUAACCAGUUUUGUUAUCUGAGAGUACACUAUCAACUAGAGUACAUAAAGGGGUUUCCAGGAAACUCAAAUUAAUUCCAGUUGAGCUACCUGAUAGUCAUACUUGUAUGCAAAUAAUUCACUUUCCUCAAUGUUUCAACAUGGGAAAUGUAUAGUGAACUAUGGUGGAUAGCAGCAGAAUUUUGCAUACAAUCAUUACAAGUUCAUUUUCUGUUAUGUAUAUGUACCUCAUACAGUAUGUUAAAUAUGUAUAAAAAGCGUAUGUUAUAUUUUCAGAAUACAAUGUAUUGAUUUUCUUUGCUGUUAUUAUAUGGUCAAAAGUAACACAAUUAGGGGAACUUAAAACUUUCUGUUCAAUCUUCCAAUGCCACAUUGACAGAGAGCACAUUAUGAUUUCAAGCUGUUAAUUGUUUUCCAUUUAGAUUCUAUUUUUCAGCCUGCAGUUAAAAUAAAUUACUAUUGAAGAUUGACAGUAACAUUCAAGUUUCCCAUCGUAUACAAAUAUAAAGAACUUGAGUCCAGUUUGGAUUAUAAUUUUAUAUUUCAGUCAUCAGAGGAUUUCUAUUUUUGAUAUUUUGAGUGUGAUUUAGUUAAUGCUAUAGUUUUCAAUAAUGUACAGUUAGUCUUGUUUCUUUGAUUGUAUCCUUGAUAUAUUUGUUAGAUAUAUUGUUGCUAGAACAUUUCCACCUUCAGCGUUUCACUCCUCUGCAAUUGAUAUCUUAUACAAUAUCCUCUCUAAAAGGGUAAUAGUGUGAAUGUUUCUGAUCUUCAGUGCAGUGUUUGAAUGUACAAGUAAUUUAUUGUGGGGCUUAUGUCUCGUAACAAUGUUAAUUUGAACUUUAUUGAGAACUUUUAUUUGAAAUGAAUAUUCUGGUUAAGACAGCUUUUCCUCUUGUAAAUGCAAUCAAAGCUGCCAUACUAUAUGUAGAUCAUCGCUAAUUACCCUCAUCCCAACUCUAAGCCAAAAAAGCCUAAGUGAGAAAACCAAUGUUUAAUGCUUAUUUUGAAGAAUAUUGAAAGCAUGUCUAGCUUGGUUUUUCUGUCACAGAACAUGUCAUUGUAGAGUUAACUACCCACUGGCUGGCGCCAUGUUUUUUCCCCAAAUAAAAGUACUCUCCCUCACCAUCAA